Molecule: transfer RNA, 66 nt
Filed under: Nomada goodeniana
Lineage: Eukaryota; Metazoa; Arthropoda; Insecta; Hymenoptera; Apidae
Description: tRNA-Lys
Source: RNAcentral
CAUUAGAUGUCUGAAUAAAGAGUUGAUUUUUUAAAUCAAAAAAUAGUAUAAAAAUACUUCUAAUGA